Molecule: long non-coding RNA, 3611 nt
Filed under: Homo sapiens (human)
Lineage: Eukaryota; Metazoa; Chordata; Mammalia; Primates; Hominidae
Description: PREDICTED lncRNA (TCONS_00072985)
Source: RNAcentral
CUGGACUGUGAGGGAGGCAACCCUUAAAAUGGUGUGAAAUAGAAAAAGAGGACAAACUUGUCUGCAGCACUCAGGAGGCUCAGGGAAUUAACCAGGAGGGAACAGUAGCCCGGUUAAAAUAGUUUCUGUACUUCCAGAGGAAGCAAUUAAAUCUCAGCGUCUACCAUGGCAAAAGACCGAUUGUACUUGAGGAACAAAAUCGGGGAUGAUCAUCCUUUAGUGGCGGGAAGCUGGAAAAUGAGGGACUGUGGGCUGUGAGGAGAGAGAAAGAGGCUUGAGAAACCAGAAACCAUCAUUUGCAUCCAAGAAACUGUGCUCUCCAUGGCUUCCUCAAGAUGAGCAAACAAGAGUGAUACAGAUUUUUCUGAGAUGGACAGUGCCUCUCACUGACCCCGCCCCCAGUAUCCUACGACCAAGGAAAAGAAUCUCAUGUGUCAUUUCUGUGGGCCACGGUAGUUAAGGAAACUCCAUGUAUUUUCAUCUGGAGCCUCACAGCAACCCUGACAAGUGGCUAAGUGGGGACAAUGUGAAGCUCGGCUGCCCUUCCCCAAGGCCCUGGUCUUGACAGUCCUCAGGGGCUGGAGGCCCCCCUCAUCCAUGUCCCCACAAGAUUUCUGUCCAUGGCACCCAAGGACCCACUCAAAUGGUCUUGAAUGGACCUGAGGAAGACUGGCGAGUUAUUGGUUUUAUAAGCACAGUUGUGUCCGUUUACAUCUACCAGAAGGUACAGGGAUAUGGCGAGAGUGAGAAGACGUGACACCUGUUAAUACAAACUCUCCCCUUUAACUUGUCUUUCCAGAGAACACAGAAUGGGAGACACCGCUAAAACAGGCCACGUUAGCACUAGAACUGAUAAACUGAGAGCUAGGUUCUAGAUAGAAAAGUUACGAUGAAACAUCCUCAUCAUUGUCAACAGAUGAAUAUCUAAACCUCAGCUUUGAUGUCCUCUGCCAAAUGGAUUGGAUGAUGCCUGCCCUUGCCACUCCACGGGGUCUUUGGGGAUGAACUGAGCUACAAUGGCGAGGGAGCGGGUGGGAUACUAACUGGCCCUUCCCCUAGAUAGGAGGCCAUCAAGUGCAGAGCCAGAGACCGGCCCUGGGCCUCCGCAGGCUCCCCCGGAGCCAAAGAGAGGCCAAACCGAAGCGCCCUGCCCAAGGCCGCCCUAACGCGACUCUGGCCGCUCCUGCCUAGCAGAUACCGGCUGGUGCCCUCGCUUCGGAUGCAAGAUCCCAGCUCUGCUGCAGCUUUCGAGCCGGAGGGACAAUCGAAAUGAUCAAAAAUGCCCGGCGGGCAGCCUUGGCGAGCGCGCGGCGGGGCGCGGGGUGAAGUCUCGCCAGGGCGCGCCGCGGCGGACACCGAGCCACACGCACUGUGCCUGCGCCCGCGGCCGCCCCGAAGGUAGUCGGUAACUGCGGCGGGCGGCGGCCGGGGCUGGACAGCCAGCCCCGCCCGGCAGGCUCGCAGCUCACGUAGCGCUAGCGUGAGUCAGCGCGUUCCAGCGCAGCCCCGGGCCGAGGGAGGGCUCCCGCGCGCAGCGCCAGCAGCCCGCACGUACCGGCCCCGGGAGGGGGCGCCUAGGUGGUUCCACUCGCGGGUGCCCUGUGCCCUGCAGUGUCCCCACGCCCCAGGUUGUCCCCCUCGAAAGCCACGUGGGCGUGGGGCUCGCCUUCCCUGGGCGGAGUCCCCAUCGGUGCCUGCCCGCCCGGAAGUAGGGGCGCGAGGGUGACGGGCAAGACCGAGCCCGGCCCGUGAUUCUUCCUCAGCCGGAGCUCGACCUUCUCCUUGUCCCUUGCGUUUCCUUUCUUUGAACCACACACUCGCUCGCUCACGUUUGUCCCGACUAAGUUGCCCCCGGCCCCCGCAGCUGUCAUGAAGAUAGAUGGAGAGGUAGCUGCGAGAGCCCAGCCUCGGCGGGUGGUGCCCAGGGCGGACUGGGGAGACUAAAGACAGUAAAGGGCGGGUGGGACUCGAGUCCUCUAUCCACCUAAUCUCACAUGCAGUGGGACUUAUCAUUCCAGUCGGUCUGCAUUUCCUCAAAUCUGCACCUGUUUAGUUACGACAACCAGCUUUAUAAAAGGAAGCGGCCUACGUGCCUGACAGCUGAAUGACGGAAUUAGAAGUCAUUCUCUACUAAAUGUGUGAACAUAGCAGGACCUCCGCUUAAGUUCUAGACCUACAGGGUUGCAAGUCUGGGCCUCCUGGGGGCAGGAAAAAAUUCCAAGUCCUCCUUUGCCCCUCGGUAAAAUGUUCUUUCACAAAUUAGAGCCAACGGCACAUCUGUGAUGUGCCUAUGUCACUUUUUCAAAGCCUUGCUCAGGGGUUGGAAUGUCGUGGAGAGGGAGACGAGGUGGGUGCUUAUGAAGGGAAAGAGAUACAUGGGGAAGGGGGAGAGGAAACGUUGAUUAGGAAAGGAGCUUGCAGUCAUGAGUAAAGUGACUGACAGAACGUUAUUGAGCCUGUCAUGGAGAUCAGGCACUAUUUGGGCACCAGUGACGCAAAAUAAGUGGCUCCCCGUGGUCCCUGCUCUCAGGGUUACAGAUGAGUGGGAGAUAUUAACUAAGUAGACAGUGAAACAUGAGGAAGACUUAGUAUGACGGUUCAGCACCCAGACUUGGGAACCAGGCUGUGCAGGUUCUGAUGCUGGCUCUGCAAUUUACAGACCGUGUGAUCUUAGCCAAGUGAGUACCCCCAUCUGUCCUCACCUUCUUGUUUUGGAAAAUAAAAAUGGUGAAAACGACUUACUUUUUAGGACAUUUCAGAGGUCUAAAUACAUUAAUACAAGCAGAGCACUGGAAUUCAGUAGGCACCGAAUAAAUCUUGUUAAUAGAAUAAAUGGAGGAGAUACAGGCAGGGGCUGCCAAGCACAGCAGAGCAGGCUGUAUGCUGUACAACUCCAGAAGACACGUUCGUAGAAGUGAAUGGAGCUUUCUGGAACUGUGCAGUGUGGUGGUCCUGAGUAUGAGUGAUGUCUAUUUUAGCAUAGUUCAUAAUAGGAAAAAAUGGAAAAUUCAAAUGCACUUAUCUAUAAAUGUGGUAUGUUCAUACAGUGGAGUACUAUUAGAGCUAUUAAAAGGGAUCAGCUGCAUCUAUGUGUAUCAAAAUCUCAAAAGUAUAUUGAAUGAAAAACAGCAAGUUGCAAAAUGAUACAUGCAGCAUGAUGCCAUUUAUAGAAAGAAAAUGUACAUACACACAAAAAAUCCCAUAUAUAUAUAUAUAUAUAUAUAUAUAUAUAUAUAUAUAUAUAUAUGCUGGAAAAAUACACACCAAACUUAAAGCUGUCUUUGAAUGGAAGGGGAGGAAUUCAGAUUUGAAAUGGUAGUCAUAGGAAUUUAGCUUAUUCUCAUAUUGUAAUAAUUGUUUCAAAGAACAAUGUGCUUAUAUAUCAUGCAGUUUUUUAUUUUAAGGAAUAGAUAUAAAAUAAAACUAGAAGCAAAUAUGUCAACACUGGCUAACUGUGGGUUGCUGGAAUAUGAGUAAUCAUUAUUUUUUCAUUUGUACUUUUCUGAAUAUUCAAAUUAAAAAUAAUUACAACCUUGCAGGUCAAGUGCUAUGCUAAAGGUGUAAAAGGGAUGGGCCUGGAGAGCAUGUCUCGGGUGAGGCUACGCUUGUAC